CCUACGGGAGUCUGCAGUAGGGAAUUUUGCUCAAUGGGCGAAAGCCUGAAGCAGCAACGCCGCGUGAACGAUACAGGUUUUCGGAUUGUAAGCUCCGUUUGUUAGAACGAAAAAUGACGGUACCUACCGAAUAAGCACCGGCUAACUCCGUGCCAGCAGCCGCGGUAAUACGGAGGGUGCAAGCGUUAUUCGGAAUCAUUGGGCGUAAAGAGCUCGUAGGCGGGAUUGCAAGUCAGAUGUGAAAUGCUAAGGCUUAACCGGUGUACUGCAUUUGAGACUUGUAAUCUGGAAUAUGGUAGAGGUAAGGGGAAUUCUUGGUGUAGCGGUAAAAUCCGUAGAGAUCAGGAGGAAUA
This 353-nucleotide ribosomal RNA is filed under the name uncultured bacterium. Its description in RNAcentral is "partial 16S ribosomal RNA". It matches the Rfam family "Bacterial small subunit ribosomal RNA", at positions 338 to 708 of the family's 1533-position model. The record is from RNAcentral.